Cordylochernes scorpioides is the source of this 76-nucleotide non-coding RNA. NCBI's taxonomy places the organism in Eukaryota, Metazoa, Arthropoda, Arachnida, Pseudoscorpiones, Chernetidae. The record is from the annotation of a GenBank genome assembly.
GGUCAUGUGGCCUAGCGGUCAUGGCAUCUGCCCGGUAAGCGGAAGGUCGUGGGUUCGAUUCCCAUCCCUUGACACU